RNAcentral lists this long non-coding RNA (1495 nucleotides) under Cicer arietinum (chickpea). RNAcentral's name for it is "long non-coding RNA (CARI_LNC001686)". Lineage: Eukaryota; Viridiplantae; Streptophyta; Magnoliopsida; Fabales; Fabaceae. The record is from RNAcentral.
GCGUUUGCGGCAGCUGCGGUGGUGGAGUGGCCGGUAGGAGCAGUUGUGUAUUGCUUUCGACACAUGAAGGGUCGCAAAAUCAUGGCUCAUCCUGCCACUGUCGUAUAUCCUAAAGUCACAAAUGCCAUCCCCAUCUAAAAUGUGUUCUUUCUACUUCUAAUAAUUAACUAUUCCAUUUAGUGUUAUAUAAUAUAUAGUUUUUAUGUAUCAAGCUACCAGCAUCAUAAUGUGUGUGAAUACAUAUAACACUAAGCGAGUUGUUAAGUUUGCUGUUGAAUACUUUGUAAAAGAAUAUUAUUGUUGAAUACUUUGUAAAAAAAUAUUAUUGUUGAAUAUCAAUAUCUUUUUUUUAUGAAAACAUAACAAUAUCUUCUUAGUUUUUCGAAAAAAUACAAUUUCAUUAAUAAUUAAACGAGACAGCCACACUCACAUACUAAUCGUAUUACAAAUUGACAUCAAGUAAAUUAUUUGGUACCGAUGAAAAAAAGUUGGAUGGAGGCACCCAUAAAAUAAAAGAGAAAAAGGGAUUUCACAAAAAAAUAUUGUAUUCUGUCAUUUCAAAUUUCAUCCUACUUUUACACUAUCAGUUAAAAAAAAAAUAUAUAUAUAUUCGCUUAUUUCACACAAUUUCAUUCUUAUGACAAAAUAAAUCCUACUUUUACACUAUCAGUUAAAAAAUAUAUAUAUUCUGUUAUUUCACAUAAUAUCUUAUUGAAAAGUCGAUGUCAAUGUAAAACUCAAAAUAAAAUAUAUAAAUACAGAAUUUAAAUUAUUUCAAAAAUAAAUAAAUAUAAAAAUAAUGUGACUCGAAACUAUGUACAAUGUUCGUAAGAAAUAAGAAAUUGGUAUAUGAAGAAAAGUAAUAUAAUAUAUUACUUUUUCGAUUAAUAAUCAAAUGGAUAAUUAAUAUUAUAUACAUAUAACUUCAUCAUACAUAUAUAUAUAUAUAUAUAUAUAUCACCUUACCAAACUCUUCAUAUAAGCCAAAAUGUGAAAGAGGCACAAGAAUUGAAAUUGCAAGAUGAACUAAGGUUCUUCAGAUCCAAACAUUCAAUCUCAUCUUCCUUUAAUCCCAUCCAUAAUUCAUGAGCUUUUUUUGUUUUCUUCUGCAGUAACUCUGACUUAAAAAAGUUUCCAUUUUCCUUAAAUUGGCCUCUUUUGUUUUAUGUGUUUUCCUUAGCUUUAACCUUUUUUGUGUGUUUGGACUUGUGGGUUGUGUUUGAUGUGUAAUUGGGUUGUUAUUUGGGUUUGUGUUGAAGAAGAACAAGAUGAAAUAGGUGUGAGGAAGAAGAAGAACAAACAUUUAUUUAUUUAUUUUGUGAUAAAUAUGAAAGGUGUUCUAAUGUGAAUAUAUGAGUUUCAAGUUUAUGAAUGUCUAAAAAUAUAUAGAAGAAUAGGUUUUGAGAAGUAACUUUUUGGGUUUCAAGUUUAUGAACUAAUGAGGAUUUGAGUUUUUUUUUACCCAAGGAUUUGUGAGUCUUAGGUAAAGAUCAAC